ACAUGUAUUACUUGUAGAGAAUGCAUUCCUCUCCAGACAAGCCUUUAGCAUCAGUUAAAAGAAAUGUGUGAUGCUGGUAAAACAAAAUUUUUGCUUCAGAAAAGGAAGAUGCCGUACAUGAAAUAUGCAAUGAAAUGCCUCUGUGAUACUGAAGGCAGAGUUCUGACUCACAUUGCUAAUUUUCCUUUCAGACAUGCAGAUGGAAGUGAAACGUGAGGAUCCCUGAGCACAGGAGAAUCCCAAGCCACAUCCCUGCAGCACGAGGACACAGUGUUAUGUGGCAAUCUGGAAGAUUUCUCUCCAGCUUUAUUCCAUAGCAGGUAUAAUUAACAAAGAUUUAUCUCACUCUCGGUUACUACUGGGUGGUAAGUAGAAUGAUGUAUUCACAAAUAUGAUUGUUAAAUCCAGAGCCCCUUUGUUUUUCCAUGCACUUUGGAGAAGGUGCCUUUUUUUUUUUUUUCUUUUUUUUUUUUACAAUAAACAUUCACAUAAGAGCUGUUUAUGUGUAAAUAUUUCAGCUUGCCAACAGAAGUCUUUGUAUGUCAACACUUAACAAACACUUAUGCAUACAAGAAGGUCUUUCCUUUAUUUUUUUCACUCUUUCCCUACUCUUUUCUCAUUUAGAAGAGUGAAACAAAAGUUAAGUCUCUAAGGCAGCAAAAAAACUGAUUGUUCUUUUCAUAUUUACUAGAAUUUAGAGCUAAUAUACUUGUUUAAUGUGAUCCAGAGCCCAGAAUUUAAAGCAGUCAUUAUUCUCCAUGGGAUUUGAAUAAUUUACUGGCUGAAAUACAUUUUUUGUCUAAAUGUGAUAGAAAAUACAAACUGCAGUACAGUUGUCAAAUAUGAGAAGGGCAUUGCUGAAUGGCAGAAUCAUGAGCCCAUUUGCUACUUGAAUAAUUAGGAAAAUUGACACUUGAAUAAUUAGGAAAAUUAAAACAUUUAUAAAAAGCAGCCUGCUACCUGCAAAAUGACAGAUAAGUGUAACAAAAAAUUAAUAAAGUCACCAUGUUGAAUGAUGAUGUCCACUAGCAGUAGUUUAAGAAUUUUUUUUGUCAAGACAGAUGACUGUUUCAGUUCUAUUCUUGGUGUUCCUAAUUACCAAUUUGAAAAACAAAAAAAAACAAUACUAAAAAAAAAGCCAAAAAAGCAGCAGCAAUGAGAAACUAAUUUUUGUAAUGCUGGGACACAAAACAGGCCAACAAUAGCAGUUGUUUACUGCAAAUAAAUAUGCAGAAAUGUCAAUUGGUGGUUACAGAGUCCCAUGGUGAUUAUCAGAACAGACUUUCAUCUCCCCUUUUGGACAGAAUUUUUAUGUCUGGAUAUAGAAGUUCACAUUUAUAUUAGAGUUUGGAGAGCUGGAAAUCCAUGGACUCCCCCUAAUUAAUUCACAAAUUUAUUUACAUGAAGAACACUGACAACCUUUGAGUACUUUUUAUAAAAGAUAGGGUAAUGCUGCUUAUAGUCAGAUAAGUGAGGCAGCCUCUGCAAGAGUUAAACUAAGCCACACCUUUUUUAUUUUUUUUUAACCCCAAAAUAAAAGCAUUUGUCCAGCAUUAGGAUAUAUCAGAACAAAACCUUUUUUGGAGUAACUGAAGCCUGGGGCUGAACUGAGCCAUCAUCAGUAGGAAUUGCACCUUCAUAUUUCAAAAAUAAAGUGUUUGUUAUUAAAUCUUUCUAGAUGCAGACACUGCACUGGAAUCAUUACUGAGAAACCUGGUGUUGUAAUGGAAUAUUGAUGCCCAUUUUAACAUGGGAUGUUUCCUGCCAUCAUGCAAUUUAAUUAAGUUCACAUAUGAGAAAUGCCUUCUAAAUUGCAACAAUUCCCCACCCACAGAAUUAACAUAAUUUCGUACCUCAGAGGUAAACAGAAAUAAGAAUAAACACUGAAGCUGCUCAUCUGCUCAGUUAUUUCCUUGGUCAACACUAACAGGACCCCAAUAAUAUUAAAAUAAAUCUGAAGAAACUUAUGAAGAAAAGUUCAUAAUUAUUUUAUUCCAAAAAUUGCAAAGGCUACUAUGCAGUGCUUCCCAUCCUGCUUUAUAUCUGCUGUGACAAAGUAAGGCUCUGGCUUUUUUUCCACUUCAACACUUACAUUUACUAUUUCACUCUGGUGACUUGAGUUACAUUUGGAAAAACUAUUUUCUGUAGAUAUGUAUACCUGUGCUUGCACAGAGGGAAAUACAUUUAAAUGAGGAAGUAUUUGAACUGGUUAUAGCAAUUAAAAUACAGAGAAGAAAAGUUAAACUGCUUGUGACAUUGCUAUGGAAGGAUUAUGGUGUCAAAAGGGACGGACAUAAACCAGAGUUGGAAAGAAAAAAGCAAGCAAAUUAUUAUUGGUGGUCUCUGUUUUAUACCAAGAUGAACAUGUGCACAUGUAUUAUAACUUAUUUGACAUGUUGUAACCAGGAAAUAAAAUUUAAAAAUGCCUUUGACUGCAAAAAGAAGUCCAAAAAGGAAACGGGCUACUUGUGAGUUUGUACUUUUGGCAACUGGUAUGUGAUUUCCUCCCCAAACAUCCAUAAAAACCCCAAAAUAAACAAGGCUUUUUUCCUUUAAAGACCUCUUAAUUGUGUCAAAGUUGUUGGCAGGAAGAGAGAUCUAUGACCUGCAACCCAGUAAAAUCUCAGAAUUCAACAGAACAUGUAACCCCCUUCAAAUUACUGAAUUCCUGCACAUCCUGUACCCACUGCCUGUACCAUCAGUCCAUCUGACACAAAUCUGGAAAAUAUUCUGAGUUAACCUUUAUAACCUCGACAGUAAAAGUGAAAUCUCUGAGCCAACAUAUGCACCCAGACUGGAGGUUUAUUGGUGUCAGAGUCAUAGUACCUCCCUGUAAUGGUUUUAACUAAAAAAAAACAAAUAACCAAAAAACUCCUCCCUGGGGAAAAUGUUAAGGCUGCUCAAGAAAA
Molecule: non-coding RNA, 2909 nt
Organism: Taeniopygia guttata (zebra finch)
Lineage: Eukaryota; Metazoa; Chordata; Aves; Passeriformes; Estrildidae
Source: RefSeq, a predicted model, not a curated record